This 253-nucleotide ribosomal RNA is filed under the name uncultured bacterium. RNAcentral's name for it is "partial 16S ribosomal RNA". It matches the Rfam family "Bacterial small subunit ribosomal RNA", at positions 524 to 776 of the family's 1533-position model. The record is from RNAcentral.
UACGUAGGGCGCAAGCGUUAUCCGGAAUUAUUGGGCGUAAAGAGCUCGUAGGCGGUUUGUCGCGUCUGCCGUGAAAGUCCGGGGCUCAACUCCGGAUCUGCGGUGGGUACGGGCAGACUAGAGUGAUGUAGGGGAGACUGGAAUUCCUGGUGUAGCGGUGAAAUGCGCAGAGAUCGGCAGGAACACCCAGGGGGAAACCAGUCGACUGGGCAUCUACUGACGCUGAGGUGCGAGAGCGUGGGGAGCGAACCGG